CGUGCAGGCGGCCACCGCAAGUUGAAUGUGAAAUCCCCGGGCUUAACCCGGGAAGUGCGUUCAAGACUGCGGGGCUUGAAUACGGGAGAGGAUCGUGGAAUUCCUGGUGUAGAGGUGAAAUUCGUAGAUAUCAGGAGGAACACUCGUGGCGAAGGCGGUCAACUGGACGAUAACUGACGCUGAGGCGCGAAAGCGUGGGGAGCAAACA
Molecule: ribosomal RNA, 208 nt
Filed under: uncultured bacterium
Lineage: Bacteria
Description: partial 16S ribosomal RNA
Rfam family: Bacterial small subunit ribosomal RNA
Source: RNAcentral